GUGAGGAAUAUUGGACAAUGGAUGGAAAUCUGAUCCAGCCAUGCCGCGUGCAGGAAGACGGCCCUAUGGGUUGUAAACUGCUUUUAUACGGGAGCAAUAAGGUCUAUGCAUAGAUUGAUGAGAGUACCGUAUGAAUAAGCAUCGGCUAACUCCGUGCCAGCAGCCGCGGUAGUACGGAGGAUGCGAGCGUUAUCCGGAUUUAUUGGGUUUAAAGGGUGCGUAGGCGGCUUUGUAAGUCAGCGGUGAAAUUUUGCAGCUUAACUGUAAAAGCGCCGUUGAUACUGUGAAGCUAGGAUUUGGUUGCUGUGGGCGGAAUGUGUGGUGUAGCGGUGAAAUGCAUAGAGAUCACACAGAAUAUCGAUUGCGAAGGCAGCUCACAAAGCCAAUAUUGACGCUGAGGCACGAAAGUGUGGGGAUCAAACAGGAUUAGAUACCCGAGUAGUCC
This 445-nucleotide ribosomal RNA is filed under the name uncultured bacterium. RNAcentral describes it as "partial 16S ribosomal RNA". It matches the Rfam family "Bacterial small subunit ribosomal RNA", at positions 354 to 796 of the family's 1533-position model. The record is from RNAcentral.